Long non-coding RNA from Columba livia (rock pigeon), 13648 nucleotides. RefSeq lists it as uncharacterized. The transcript has 2 exons. The record is from RefSeq and is a predicted model, not a curated record. NCBI's taxonomy places the organism in Eukaryota, Metazoa, Chordata, Aves, Columbiformes, Columbidae.
GGGUGUUAUGUUUGCGAUCUCUGCCUUGGUACCUAAGGAGGAAGAGGAGGAGGAGGGUGUGCUAUUGAAUGGUGGCUAAAGCCUCCUCGGGACGGCGCUGAGGUGAAACAGGCUGAACCCGACUGAUGUGCCUCCUCUCUCGGUUGGACCCAGUGCCCUAAGCAGCCGAUGAGAGACCCCCGGCCGCCCGGCUCGCAGGUACCUUUUUAAUGCUGAAAUGGACACACUAAUUGUGAGCCAUGUGGUAAGAAGCUCCUUCUAAAAUAUGCAAUAACUUAUUUACUGGAAUUUAACAGGCUGUGUACUUUAAAGCUUCUCUUGCCUGUAAUCAUGUGGACAAACCUUGCAAGUCCUAUUGCCAGCUCAAGAUUUGGAAAAGUAACGGCAGCGCUGAAACAGCCCCUGACAUUGGGCAAGGGACAGAAAGGAGCUGAUGACCUGCGACGGGACAAGAGACCUCACCAGGAUUUGCUCACGGUUAUGCUUCUGGCGACUGACAUUUCCAUUUUACUCAAAGCUUCUACGUCUGUGUCAUCAAAGCCCCGUGAGUGGUGGCAGAGCAAACCGUAGCCUUCAUUUUCAAGUUCAAAGAGAAAAAAUUAUUUACAUGUCUAAAUCCCAGAACCUGCUGUUCAGAGGUCACUCUUUUACCCAUUUUUUUAAAGCAUUAAGGUUUCCAAAAUCUCUAUUAAGAAAAAGGACACAGUUUGGGGCAGAAAAGUCUUAUUGUUUUCAUUUUGUCUAGUUUAUUUUUUAUUCUAUCAUCUGAUUUUUGUCCUACCAGAGGAACAUGGAAGAUGGGAUGUUUCUGUCAUUGUUUACAAUGAAUGGCUGCUUAAAGCGACUGUCAGAGAUUGCAAAACGAAUUUUUGAACCUCCUUAAGAUUCUUCUAAACCAAAGGAGAAUGUAUUUUAAUUCAUUAGAAUUUCAGAGUUUAUUUUGUAAGGAAAAUUAUUGAUUCAUGCAAUGACUGCUGCUUUGCUGUUUUAUCACAUUUCCAACUCAGUAUUUUUUAUGUUCUUUUCGUUAUGAAUUUAGGCAAAUGUUUAAUUGUUUGUUUUAAUGUUGCACUUUGUCUGUGUGUUUGUUUGUUUUAGAUGUGUUUUCCUGAAUCAGACCUUUGAAUUUAGUGACAAUUAUUACCAUUUCCAGAAAUUCUUUUUCCAUUCACAGAGUAAGCACUAAGAAGUCAAGGUUAUUCAACAGAAAUUAAUAAAUACAACCUGGAAAGGUCUUUAUCUUCCAAACUACAAAAGGGUCUCAAAAGGAAAAUGUAAAACCAAAAAUAGAUAGAAAUUGGUUAAUUCUUAAAAAAUAAUUGGAUCUGAAAAUAAAAAAAGCAUUUUAAAAUAAGAAAAUUUUCAGGCAUGGAAAAAAAGUGUUGCCUGACACAGUGUUUAGGGUAAAUAGAAGGUGAAUUGCUGCUACUGCAGUAGUGUGUAGGUCAUUUUACCUGUUCUAGUUGCCCUAUCUGUAAAUAGAUGAUAAUGCACACUUCUGCCUACUGUUGCACAAUCUUUACAUGUUUUACAGUGCAACAGAAAAGGGUUUCAUAAAGUACUUAAAUAUUGCUUGUUGGAUUUCUUGCUUUUGAGAGAAAAGACAGUUUGGACUAUACAUCUUGAAAGACCUCAUUUCUUAAGGUGGUAAUGGCAACUUUAAGUAUUUUGUGUGUGUGUGUGUGUGUGUGUGUUUGUUUGGUUUUAACUCUUUAAUGGACUGAUUUUUGGGUAUCUUUUCUGGAAUGUGCAGAUCUCUGAAGACUGAUAGAAGGGAGGGUUACUGUGAAUAGAAAAGCCUCCUUAAAGAGAUCUUAUGGUCAUCAGAAUUCUGUCAUCCUCACAAAAACAUACUUAGCAUUAGCAUGGCCCGUGUUUUGCAUUUCAUCUACUAAACUUUCAGAGACAUCUUUGUCUGGCUAGUGUCUCAAGGCUGUUAAAAUAUAUCACUGGAAGAGCCCUUACCUUUAGGCGAAUUCAGAUUGGAUCAUGCCAUGAUAUGAAAAGUCAUAUGCAAAUGCCAUGGCUUUUCCCAUUAAAUAAGCAUGCUGAUUUCAUUAAUAUUUCUUGAAAGAACAAGACCAAAAAGACUUGGAUUGUUGUGAGUCUCCUGUAGAGAAUUUUGGUGGCAGAACUGUUGCCAUAUGGCUGUACUUAUUUUGUGCUGCAUGAAAGGAAAUGAGUGGAAAUUGUAGAAAAUCUAUAUCAAAGUAAAAUGCUACAAGCAAACAGGCUAUCCACUUAUUAUACUGACAGUACUGAUGAUGUCUACUCUGAAAAUAGGCAUGGAGUAUGCUCAGGAUGGUGUAUCUCUUGAGCCCCACUUUGUGUUGCCUUCCUUUAGCUCUGCUCAAGACUGAGCUGUUGGGUUUGCCAACAGGCCAGAUUGCUUAACCCGUCUUUCUUACCAAUAGGCAAUCUCAAGGUUAUCCUAGGACAUGUGACAUUGCCAGAAAGGUGACUGGAUGGUUGUCACUGCAGAGCUAUGCAAGGGGACUGUGUGCACUGGAGAAUUCUCCUUUUCCAUAUCCUAAAUCAUGCCCUAGACUUGACCUUGAGUAUAGCUUUAUGCUCUCACAACCUACCUUGAUGUGUGUUCUGGCCUUGAACACAGAUCUGAGUUUGUAAGGUUAGUGACAUUAAAAAAAAUGCAUUCUUGUUUGAAACUUUCAGCAUUUAAGGUAGGAAAGGCAAUUAAGUAAUCAAAUACAGAAAGAAAAUGGUUUAUAAGAACAUCAAAUUUAGGAAUACAGCACUUUGGUUUUUAGAUUAUCAGUGAAGUGACAAAGGUGUCUCUUACCUGCUGCUUUGCCUGUGGUAGGUGUCAGCUCACAGCUGAAGUGCAGGUGUAUGAAAUGCAUGUCAUAUCACCGACACAUGCUCACCAGAUGCCACCAAAGACAUCAGGCCCUACUAAAAAGUAAGAAACCAUAAUUAUUAUAUGAUAUAAAGGGAUAAAUUAGGAUUAUUGGUAAAAUAAAUAUUAAAAUAGAGAUUAACACUUGAGAAUAACGUUUCAUUUAUUUGCUGUUUUUAACUAAAUUCAGAGCAGUUCAAAUAUAUUGGUACAUCUUUUGGACUUAUGUUUUAAUUGUGAAAAUGGCUAAUCUGUGUAUAGCUUAUUCAUGUUGCUAUUUCAAGUUACUUUAAUUGCGGUACUUACGUAAAUUCAGGAAGCAGAAUUGUAUUCCAUCUGGUGAUUAAGUAUUUACUUACAUUAAUCAUACAGUCAGAACACACAGAAUAAUUAAAAAAAACUACUGAAAACUUGAUUUAACAUAUUAGAGAAAUUAAUGUGACUAAAUGUGUCCAUGUAGGGCCUGAAAAUUUAAACACACUUAAAAACAUAAUGUAGGAAACAAACAGGGAGCUACAAAUGCUGUGAUUUCACCAAGAAACCUGUUUUUCCUACUAUUUCAGCUGAGUUAUGUAUCAAGAAGAGAUGUGCAUAAAGCUACUUUCAACUUUAUUUAUUUAUUUAUUUAUUUAUUUAUUUAUUUAUUAAAAAUGAAUGUAUUAUAUGUGCUUUCUGAGAUUGAAGCUGUUUACUUUCACUCUACUGUGAAUAUCUAGCCCCAGUGAAAUACCUAGGGAGACCUGGUAUGUUAACUUAGAGAUCCAAAAAUAUGUUUCCACUUCCCCAUAUUAGGUCCAGUAGUAAAAUAUUUUCAGACUGAAAUAGAUGCAUGACUCACCUGAGGAAAUGGUACCUCAAGUUGUUUACAAGAUGGACACUUUCCAGGUCAUGAGUCCUGUCAUUCUUGUAUCUAUAAAAUCCACUAAGGUGACCUACAAACCAUCACUCUCUAGCAGAUAAUUACUCAGGAGCUUCUCCAAAAUCAAAAGAAAGCCUACAAGUGGACCUGUGUACAGGGUGACAUGACGAUCCUGUCUCCUGUGCUAGACAUGGAAGCAAUUUUUAUUCUUAAUAAUCUAGUUUGUCUCUAAUACACUGAAAUUCAGAAUGAUGUAUAUUGGCACAAUGUAUCAGAUUACAAGACAAAAAAGUGGUUUUGCUCUAUUGUUCUGGACAUUUAGACUACACAAACAACAGGUUGCAAUGCUAUUCUUUGAAAACUCUAGUGGUAUACGAAUGUGCACAUGUGCACAGCAGAUCACUAGUUAUUGCAGUAAAGGCAGUCUGUGCUUCUGCUAUAUAUUUUCCCAACUGAUGUGUUUUUUUUUAGAGGUUGUCAUAUGGUAUAACACUUUUACUAGUUGACUCCUCCCACUUUUCUUCAAACCACAUCCUGAUUUUUGGCCUCAGAAACCAAACAUAUGCACAACUUGCAGAACAACACAUGAUAUUGUUUCUGCAUAACAUCAUACCAGCUGGGAUAUAAAUUCUUACAGACAAUUUUAUGCAUAUGAAAAAUACCUACAUUAAGACAUUUUCCAUAGUUAUGCAAUACAUACCACAGUAGAGCAUAUGGUCUAUAGUCAGAGAUCCUCACUUAGAACUAUAAAAAAAGUCCCAACUUGGGCCUCAGAUCUUCAGACAAUGUAAUUUUGAAUAGAUCAUUCCAAUUUAUCUCUGUUGUGUAUCUUCCUUUUUCUAUUCUGUUUUGGAUUUGUGAAAUCCAACAUCAGAUAUUUUGCUGGUAUGUCAAGGAUCCUUAAAUUAUAUCUAUUUGAUUUAUUUGGCAUCAAGUCCAAUAAAAUUCUUAUUUAACUAAAGAACAGCUAAUUUCUGGUGAAAUUCUAACCUGUAUCAUGAUUUGAAGAUAUGCCAAUAGGAAGAAUUCAUCAUUUUGGGGCAAUUUAUUUCAACAUUUAUUUUCAUUAUUAGAAAAUGGUUUUGUUCCUGAUCUGUCAGUGUUCAACUUCCAGAAAUAUUACUAUUAUUAUUAUUAUAUUUUUCUUUUGAAGAAUGGUGGGUUGGGGUGGUUGUCAUGUUAUUCUCCCUUCAGGAUACAGUAUUUUUGUACAAGGGUUUUGUCCCAUGAUCUAUAAACUUUAAUAAAGUUGCGUCAGCUCCCCUUUUUAAGAAUCAAACAGAUUGAGUUUAUAGUUUCACAGCGAAUAAUGUUCUCCUGCUCUCAAAUUAAUUUUGAAUGCAAUUUCGUGAACUCUCAUUUUUUUUCCACCAUUCCCAUUAAAUAUGGACAACAGAACUAUGGGAAUUAUUCCAACAAUUGCAUCAGGAUUCAAGGAUUACUUUAGCUCUGUUCAUGCAGCUUCACAGUGGCAGCUCAUGUUGGGUUGCUGGUCCUCUAUGGUCCAUAAAUCGUUGCAGAAUCAAGGCAUUUCAAGGCACUGUACCCCAUUUUUUGGGGGUAAAAUAUCCUUGUAUUGAUAUAUGACCAUGCAUUCAUCUCUCUCAAAAUGCUCAUUUUUUCAGUGGGUCUGGCUUGUAAAGAAAUCUCUUCCUUGGUCUCCUCAUUAUGUACUACUCAAGUAAUCUUUCUGUCAUCCACAGAUUUUUAACAUGGUAAUUUCUAUUUGCACCUCCAGAUCACUGCUGGGAAUACUGAAUAACACUGGCCACAGUGCUGAUGCCUGCUGGAUACCAUUAGAAACAAUUCAAUAUUAAUUUUUUUUUAAUGUAUCUUUUGAUGACCUGCUGGCCAUCUCUUAAUUGAAAUUGUGAUCACUGGUGUUUUGUAGUCAACCUUUUUUUUUUUCUUAGCAAAAAUUUAGUGCAGCAUUUACAAAUUUUCUUUAUACAUUUUCAAUUAAACAAACAGAAGAUAAGCUCUCCAUGAAAGCCGAAAAAAGUCAGUUGGCCAUGCUGCAAAUUAAAUGCCCGGGAUUAAUAUUCUUCAGUUUUCUCUGCGCCUGUAACUUCAUCUCACCUUUUCAAAACAUUUCAUAUAUAAAUAAUACUGUUCAUGUUUCAGAACAGGAGAGAUUCUGAUUUGCCUGACGUUUCUAUUUUAAAAUGUGUAGGGACUUUCUGAAAUUAUUGAAAUUGCCUUUGGGAAACUUACAGAACUGAUUCCAGACACUGGUGCAUGCACUUUCUUAAUCUUUUUUUAACACAUUUUACUAAGCUUCUCUCUCCGAUUGGGUAGUGUAUGCUUUAUAAUCUGCCACAAAACAUUAAAUUCAUGAAACUGGAAAAAAAAUAAUAAUUAAUUAUUAGUCUAUGCUUUUGCAGACACACCUUGUAUUCAUUUCUGUCUGUAAAAGAGAGCACUACAUCUGUUAUGUUGGCAAAUAAAGGUACAUCCACAAUUCCCUCAAAACUUUACCAAUGUCAUAGCUCUCCUUCUUCUCAUCCCCUAGUAUUUAAGGGAAUUUGAUAAUAUUCCUGAGAGGUGCUUGAGUUUUUGCAAGUAAAGAGAAAGAAGGGGUUGAGCUUUGAGAAGAGGAGACUAGUUUAAAACGUCUCUCUUUCAUUUUUUGGAACCUUCUCCAUUCCAGAAGAAAGUUCUGGUGAAAUUUGUUAAAAAGAAAUUUCCAAGUAGUUUAUUAUUUUUAAAACAAAUCUAAGACUUUUGGAUUUAUCAGACUUUUCUGCCUUUGUAUAGGUUGAAUAUCAUAUCUAAUAGCACAUUAAUAAUUACAUGUCAUUUUCUUUAUCCUCUUUGUGCACUGCCAGUUGGCAAAGGUGCCUCAUUUCACACAUCAUUUGUGAUGUCCUAUGGUAAUACUGUGUAUUUUGGGGAAUAGCUCUUGAAUGUAGUCAUUAAUCUCCAUUUUGAGAUGUGUAGUUCCAGAUUCUGGACCCAAUUCUGUAAUUAUUCUAAGUACAGAGUUCUUGCUGAAGUCAAUGGGCUAGCAAUACUAUGCUCAGAUCCCAAGAGAAAGAGUACAGGUAAUUUUAAUCUACAGGAUUGUAGGAUUUCCCAGUCCUACAGCCAGGCUGAGGUGGCCACAACCCAGCAUAUGGAAGCAAGUUACUCUGUUUGCUGGCAAUCAGUGACCCAUUGGGUCACUGCAACAGGUGGGAAUUGGGAUUCAGGGGUGAUGCUGGACAGUCUUACCACACUGUGGAGUGAAAGAAAGCUAUUCUGAUGGUCCUAUUCCAUUCAAGACAGCUAGCACAAAAGAACACUGUUAAUUCCUACUGAGGCAGAGCAGGCACAAGUCAACAGUGAUCCAGACCCAACUUCAACACAGAGACAGCUUGUGAAAUUGAAAAACAGGAAUGAAACAGAAAGUACAGUAUGUGUCUGAGAAAUCUUAUCAACCUUGGCAGAGAUAUUUAUUGCUCACUGCUGACUGAGAAUCCUGUCUUGCUAGAGAGUAGUUGCAAGUUACUAAUGGAGUAAAAAUGUGGGGUGAGCAGAGAAUUGCAGUCAAUGGCUGAUUACUCUGAUGUCACGCUUUGGGAACGGCAGCCAGAAAUGUGCAACUCAUUCUGCCUUUAGAAUCAAAGGCAUCUAAUUACAAUCUCAUUUUGUUAAAAUACAGCGCUAAUGAUUUGCUUGUGCAGUAGCUGGAUACUGUGUCAACUGCCAUAUAAGCUAAGAUUUUCCAUUUUAACAAUCCUAGUUACAGUAUCCGACUGCUUAUGCAUAAACAUUCACCAGUUGUUGCUGUGUGUCAUUGGAGAGGAGAAAUGCAGCAGCUUCCAUGAGUCACUGGCAGAUAAACUUUGUGCUAAAAUGUCCUACUUCACUUUAGAAGAGUUUUUUUGAGAUAUUCAUAAAAACUGGUCCUUUAAAAAUCCUGCUAUACUUAGGUUAUUCUGUGGCACAUAAAAGAGGUUAAGCGGUUAAGCGCUGUUCCCUCUUGUAAUAUCCACCUCCCAGUUCUUUUUAAUUUUUGUAAUCUGUCUUUUUAUUUUUUUUCCCUUGGUACUCAGUUGUUUGUACCUUUGGGUUGCUUCUCUAUGUUUGAAACAAGUUAUAUAUGAUCUUCCAAAAUUUUAUUACCAAAUGUGUAUGUACACAUUUUCAGAGCUCUCACUACUUGCAAAGUCUUAUUUUGGAUUAAGGGCUACUUCUUUUAUCUUCCAAGCACCCUGCUGACAACAACUGUAUUGUUAAAUAUCCACGGUACCUUGUUUUGUUCCCUACAUAUGUCUUUCCUUGAACAGACCCCGAAUUAAGCGUGUGCAUGGGUGGCAUGUGUUAACAUUUAGUAUUAUUUGAUCUUAUUCCAUGAAAUCAUCUUCAGCAAAUUCUGCACAUUUUAAUUUGUUAAUUAUAGCUAAGUCUAUACUAUUAAAUAUUUAUCUGAAAGGAGUUCUCUGACAGCACAGAAAUGAGGAUAGCUUUCUAAGUAAAUGUUUUGGUACACAACAGGGACAGUUUUUAGACCAAGCCACAUUUUUCACAUGACAUUAGAUGGCUCCAGAGUUUGAUAUGUUUGGUUUUCUCCUCUAUGUCUGAUGUGUAAUUCUAUUUCUGAAUAUGUUCCUUCUUCAAAUGUGAAUUGCAAUAAUUCUUUCACUCUAGCUGGCACUAUGACAGUGCCCAUCCUUCCAAAUCCAUGUAACUGGCAUUUUCUUCAAGUGCAUAGCUCUUGUAUCUCCAGGUCUCUGCAAGUUUUUUUCAAUAGCCUUUCCUAUGAAGUAGUUUCCUAUGAAGCUGUGGUGUCAAAAAUCAGACAGGAUCUUAAAGAAAUAUGUGUAGCAAGCUGUUCACACUCAAGUGGUAUUCAGAGUAUUAAGAGAAGAACAAGGUUUGUAAUUAUUAUUUUUAAGCAGCACAGAGGGCAGCCAGAAGGGUUGAAGUAGGAACCAUUCCAAGUAUAUAUCCUGAAGAAGCAAAGGGGGCAGUAAUAAAACUAAACUUCCCCUUGUAAAGAGAAAAAUUGUUGGAAGGAUGGACUCAUUAGUUAGGUGCUGGGGUCCAAGUCAUUCUCUGUUUCCUUCUCAUUACCUCCAGGCCAUGACUGUGUUCUAACUAUAUCCCAGAUCAGAACACUACCUGGGAAUAUUAGUGAGCUGAAAAAGAAAACAGUAAAAGAGUUAUGGUCCCAAUGUCGGUAUGAAAAUCAGGACCAUGAUCUUUUAACUGCUCCAGUAAAAAGUCAAUUGUAAUUUCUGCUUCUUGGAGAUGCCCAGCAUAUUCAAAGAGCUCUCCACAAGUUUACAUUCAGCUCCGUCAGAUUAAAAAAUCAGGAAAACACUCUGAUGAGCUCAGUUUCCAUAGGCUGCUUGGGCAGAGAUAGUCAAGAAACCAGCCCACUCUCCAGUCUCUGCUAAGUCCUCAUUUGGGGGCAGGUUUAUUCCUACAAGUGAGCACCAGUCCUUGAGUUGUUUGCCAUCUGUGUGCAGUCAGUACACUGGGUAUCAUUGCUGUCUUCUCCUUCCCUGACUCUCUGAAAGAGAGUUUACUGGUGAUUUUGCUCUGCCAGACAGCAGAGGGAUUCUCUAGCCUCUGUCCUUGGGAGUGGUGCAACAGAAGAAGGGCAAGCUGGCACUCACUGCUGCUCUUAUUCUUCCCAAUGUUACAAAUUAAAACAAGAAUAUGAAAAACCCACAUGACUUCAUCCUUCAGACCACAAGUGAAGCUGAGUCAGCAAGUGGUGAAGAAAACUAUCUAUAUUUAUAGUGAAAGAACAAUUAUUUCUUUUUCAUGAAAUGUUUGUAGCUAAUCAACUCAAAUAACUGCCUAUUUAAUAAAUACAAGCUGCAUACAAUCCUGCCAAAAAUGCUCUUGGAUGGUAUAUUUUGCAUUUAAUAAGUCUCAAAAGUUAUUAGAUGAUCACUUUUUUAGUCAAUAGACUAAGAUCUAAGAUUAGAAAUUUAUUUGGAUUUUUAAAUGUUCAUAAUAUAUGUUGAUUUUAUUCAUAUCCAAGUUUAGUUUCACUGUUUUCUGUAAAGGCAGUGGUGGCAGGAACUGAACCCAAAAGCUAGCACUUAACUAUUUCUUUUCAUAUGUCCUAAUCACUUUCCUAGACUUUUCUUUGUCUUUUUUCUUUUUUUUUCUUUUUUUUUUUUUUUCUCUCCCUCACACUUUUUAGGCAUACUAAAUGCGUUUAGCUUGAAUCCGUUACAGUUUGAAAUUCGCAGAAAUCAAGCAACUAUAUUUAUACAUGUAAGUUAAACUCAAAUUACCCCAUCUGAAUAUUUUUGUGUUGUUUAUUAUGUAAGUGAACAUCCAUUUGAUACAGGUCAUUAAAGUGUCAGACUUUAAUAUCAAUAUAUAUUUAUUACGUGAUUUAAAAAAAAAAUAAAAAAAUCAAAAAUUAUGUAUCAUGUACAGAACACUCUAUGAUUAAGAAGAUUAUGCUUUCAAAAGAGAUUUAAGGAUAGUAUAAUUUCAAAACUACCUUUUAUCUCAUUUGGUAUUAUUUAUUUCCUACCUUUGAACACAUACCAUGGACAUCUUAAACUCUGAAUACCUUUGUUUUAAUCACUUUAUACUGCUCUGUCCUCUCCUUCCCCCAGGACCUUUACAGAGGUGCAGGUAGCCAGGCACAAAGGUUCAGAAAGCAAAGUUGGGAACAGUAAAUUCUAUUGACAUUAACUCCUCAUGAAUUUCAGCACACAGAUUUAUCCAUGUAAGUCCCAUUAAAAUUAAUGGGAAUCAUGUGACUCAACCCUCUGCAUACUGAGCACUUUCCUCAGUGUUCUGAAGAGUGUGUGUCUAGUUUCUGAGUCCUUAAACAAAAUGGUGAACGUGCAGUGACAAUAGAUGAUUUAAGUGUCACAUGCAUUUAACGUAUUACAGAGCUUUGAAGAAACAUCUAUAAAAGCAGCCUUUGCAUCACAAGUCAAAAGUUCCAAGGAAAAUUUAAUUUAUAUUGAAAAUUUUGGUAUGGUUUUCAUCAAAAUGAUAAAACAGACUACUGUAUUUGCAAUUUACCAUCUAACUAUACAACAUUUAACUUAAAUCAUCAUACGGAAUGCAAUAAAUGAAAUAUUUUUCAGAACAAUGGUUUAAGCUUGGUGUUUUUAAUCUAUUGAACUUUUUUUUUAAAGAGAGUCUAUUAAUAGGCCAUUAACAGAGACAUUAUUUUAAAAUGAGAUUUCAAGGAAAGGUUAUACUUAAAUAAGCUACAGUAAGAAUAGGCAUAAGCUGAUGAAACAACUUUCAAAUAAAUAAUGCUAUAAAUAAUAUUUAUGAUGUUAUGCCCAAGCAAUGUGAAAACAAAGGCUAUAAUUUACCUUUGAAUCAUAUAUAUCUAUUCCUAUGUCAAUGUUUGGAAGUCCACUGACUUAAUAAGAAGCUAUAUAAGCAUGAGGAGGUGAAGAGAAGAUAGUGGAAAAAAUGGCACAUGGGCACUGUAAGGAUGCUCCAAAUACUCUCUGAUUUGUAGACUAUCCUAAUUCCUUCCCUUCUCCCUCUUUCUUUUCUUUGGAAGUGAAAUUUAUGAUAUUCAACAGAAACUUUGGAGGAAACUUCUGCACAAUUAUAUGCCAUUUACAUUAAAUCAGAGUUGAGAUGUGUCCUAGUCAUAAAAUCUUUCACAAAACACAAUCUCUUUCUUAGUAGCCAAAAAAACCCUGAAAUUUUCUCAGCUAGCAGACAAUGGCAUCAACUGUAUGGAACUUACUAAACAAAACCAGUUUGUUUAUUUUUGACUCGGGAAAUGCUCUCCCUUCUCACCAUGUUCAGCAAUAGUUUUGUAUUCUUCUAUAUUUUAAUAGACUGAAUAUUGGAUCAACUGCUAUGAACCUCUGCUGUCUUCAUUUCUUACAGGAAAUGUAGUCUUGGCUAUUUCAACUUCACCUUUGUUUUGUCAUUAGGAUAAAGAGCAUGUACAUGUUAAUUUAUUAGUAUGCUGAGAAGUAGUUGGUACACCUAAUGUUUUCAAGGUAAUUUGAGUAGACAAGCAUAACAGAAAUAUUUUCUACCAUAGCUGUUAUUGUUUUCAGUGAUAUCUUUACUGAGUGGAUUCUCAACUUUGAGAUGCAAAUACACAGAUGAAUGGACUUAAUUAGUUCUGCUGUUCUUGAAGUUACCUGGAAGUAUAAGAGAGACUUUUGGUAGUAGGUUUUUUUUUUUAGAAAACCUUUUUCCUGAUGUAUUUUUCCUCCUACCAAUUCCCAGAUACUCUACUAUAGAUUGUGGUUUGCAGUGAUCAGAAAGGAUGCUGACACAAGAUAUUAUUGUUAAAAGCAGAUACUGAGAUUUUACUUAUCAGCUUGAGACACUUUACAAAUAAAUUCAUUACCGUCGUAACAACAAAAUCAAAUACAAUCUUAUUCAUGUACCAUAGAGGACAGUUCUGAGUUUUGUACAGGAAUGCUUUCAAUUUUUAUUGCUAAAACGUGACUUCUUUAUUUUUUUAAUCAUCAGAUAUUUCUGAAAAAGUUCAAGGUUUAAAUGUCUCUUACAGUCUUCAUGAUCAUGAAAGCUAUAAUAAUGGCUUUGAAUCUGAUAUUUGGGCAUUAGCCCCAAAUGCUUACUAAUUAUGCCCUGAAGUAACACCUCAGGAUGAAAGAAGCUAAAUGGGGGAAAGAAUAUAAAGAAAAAAAACAAAACAACUAUUCUUCUUUAAAAAAUUAAAAUUGUUCAUUCAAUUAAAAACCCUUUAAUAAAAGUCCACAUUUGAGUUCAAGUUGCCCACGGGAAGGUCUAAUUCAUGCUGGCCAUUAAUGAAAGGUUUAUAUGACUAUUAAGGAAAAACUGACAAGUUGCCACAGAAACCUUAGUAGUGCUUGUUAACAUAAAUAAGAAAUAAGAGGUGGAUGCUUAGAAUGAACCCUAAAUUCUACUUUUAUAAGGUCAAACUUAGUAAAAUGUUAAUAGGUUUAGAAGAUCUGUAAUUUCAGCUACUGAUACAAUUCUAUGUAUGUUUUUAAAUGUUGUACUGAAGUUUCUUUCUUUUGCAGAUGAAAACUCUACGGUUUGAUUAAAUGGGAACAAAUAUCUGGAAAUAAAUUGGCAAUUGUAAUACUUCUUUGCUCAAUUCACUUAGCAUAGAGAUAAUAUUUUCUAAACUGGAACUUAUAUCAAGCAUUUGUACAAUGCAAAUCAAAUCAAUGUCUAGAACUGGUUCAUGAACAAAUGAAAACAAGUAAAAUCUAUUUUUUAAAAAAUAAGUUGGUGGAAAUUAAUAUUUUUCAGAACUUGCGUAGUGGUUUUUGCAUUUAUAACACUCCAGAGCUUCAGUUAUAAAGACAAAAGAAACAUAAUAAUUCCUAUUUGGAGAGAAAAACAAUUUUGAGGCAUUAAUGCAUUUUUUUUUUAAGAUAUGUUCAUUUCUGAUGCCUCAUUUUUUUUUUCAUGCUGAAAAUUUGCCAGUAGGCAUUCUGAAUUGCAUUCCAUAUCACUUAAAAAAGUAGAUUUACAUGUCUUAGUCAAAGUCAUAUAUCAGGAUAGUACCAGAAUGAGGGAGAAAAAUAAGCAAAUAAGCUUUUUUAAAUUUAGAACUCUGUCAUAACAACUGGAUCACAGCUAUUGUCAUAUAACUCAAAUCCAAUGGUUUUCAUAUAAAAACAUUUCUAAUUUUGCCAGAAGACAUUUGUAAAAGUUAUGUAGGAUGAACUGAUCUGCAGUGUUGCAUGGAUGUUUUCUUAGACUAUCAAAAAAACCAAACUGUAAAGCAGAGUUUAUUAUACAAUGCCAACAAAUUAAUGUAGUUUAGAGCAAUCACUAUAAACCAUUAAAAAGUAACACAACCAUCAAUUUUUCCAUUGGUGACUGAACUUUAGCAACAGAGUUGGUAAAAGAUUUAUUAAUUUUUACUUUUUUACAACACUGGUAGCAUGUCCAUUGAUUUCACAUGGAGUUGUCAACACAACAAAUAUUACAAACUUUCCAAAGCACUCAUUACAAAUAAAUUAAAAUUUUAAACUACA